RNA transcript from Felis catus (domestic cat), 6350 nucleotides. It is a transcript of the gene named folliculin, with no coding region annotated. The transcript has 18 exons. Lineage: Eukaryota; Metazoa; Chordata; Mammalia; Carnivora; Felidae. The record is from RefSeq and is a predicted model, not a curated record.
GUAAAGGGAUGGGGAACGUGACAUGGGUGCAGACCCCAUCAGCGUCGUCGGUUUAUUCUCCAACGUUAGAGAUGCUGCCGGGAGACUGCACUCUUGGCAUCCCUCCCACCCGGGUUUUGCCUUCCUUCUGGUUUAGGGAAGAGGGUGUGUCAAAAUUCUUUUUUCCUCAGGCUGGUGUUCUGAGGCGGGCACUCUGAUGAGCCCAUAGGCCUAGAAGGAUGGUGGAAGAGCACAUUUCCCUCCAGUUUGGUGGGUAUUGUUAGAUGCGCCCUUAUCACCUGGGAAAAACGUUUCCCCAAGAAUUGGCUCAUUGUGGGUUGAGGUCCCAGCUUUUGGAGGCAGAGGGCAAGGGUUCGCUGAAAGGAGGUACUGGUUCUCCAGCCCGUGGUGUCCCGCCAGAGUGGCCCUAGGGGCUCCGUGUCACAGCAGAGAAAGUGCUGGAGGCAUCGGGUUACCAACAUUGUUAGGAAGAGAUUGGGAAAUAGCGGCAGGUGACUGUGUGUGCUCUACUGGUGUCACACAUCAGGACACUUCGUAAACCAAAAACCAGGUGAAGGCAGUGGGAAUAGGAAAGCCACCACGGUGUGACUGCGCUGGAGCUGGAAGUAAUCCCCGUGGGACUUUUCACUUUGCACCUGCCGAGAUCCAGCUGCUGACCUAGUGAGACUCCCCUGUGGGAGACUAGGUGGAAAAGCCGCAGGGGAUUCUGAUGGUCAUUACUGGCUAAGAGCUACUAUGAUACUGGAUUUCUUUGCAAAGCCCUCUGUGAUCCUCUGUGGUCCUAGGAGAAGACCACAGAAAGCGGGGAUGAAAUAGGCCCAGGGCCAGCCUCAGCCACUGGGAGAGGGGGGCCGUGGGAAGGGCCCUGCCUCCUCCAGUUGUUUGGAUUCUUUCUUGGAAUAUAAAGUCGAAGAGAUUUGGCCAGGGUGGGGUGUGAGCGCGUGUGCAGAUUUCUGCCUCCUUGGAUUCCGGAAGGCUCGCUGGAAGCGAAGAACUGUUAGGCGUACUCAAGCCAGUUUGUUUUCUAAAGUAAACAUCUGAUGAGAUUGGAAUUGGAGAAUGAAUAGAGAACUGAUCUCCUGCUACUCAGAAUUCUGAUGCCGCCGUGCAGUGGUUAACCUGAGAGGUGGGGGUUCCUCUGUUUCUCAGCUUUAGGGUGGUGCCAGAUGCGGAUAAAUAAGAUAUUGGACAUCACCUGGCAGAAAACGUCAGGUCUUAGAGCUGAAGUAUGGCCGCCCUGCCUGACUCAUCUGGAAAUGGCCUUGCACGCUGUUGUGUAGGCGGGACGGUGGACGUGUGACUUUGCCGAGUGUAAAGGCCCCCUUCUGUCUCCAGGACACCAUGAACGCCAUCGUCGCUCUCUGUCACUUCUGUGAGCUCCACGGCCCCCGCACUCUCUUUUGCACCGAAGUUCUGCACGCCCCACUUCCUCAGGGGGCUGGGAAUGGGGACAGCCCUGGGCAGGGCGAACAGGCCGAGGAGGAGGAAGGUGGCAUUCAGAUGAGUAGUCGGAUCCGCGCUCACAGCCCGGCGGAAGGGGCCAGCGCGGAGUCCAGCAGCCCGGGGCCCAAAAAGUCAGACAUGUGCGAGGGCUGCCGGUCACUUGCUGCAGGCCAUCCUGGGUAUAUCAGCCAUGAUAAAGAGACCUCGAUUAAAUAUGUCAGUCACCAGCACCCCAACCACCCCCAGCUCUUCAGCAUUGUUCGCCAGGCCUGUGUGCGGAGCUUGAGCUGUGAGGUCUGCCCUGGCCGUGAAGGCCCCAUCUUCUUUGGAGAUGAGCAGCAUGGUUUCGUGUUUAGCCACACUUUCUUCAUCAAAGACAGCCUGGCCCGGGGCUUCCAGCGCUGGUACAGCAUCAUCGCCAUCAUGAUGGACCGGAUUUACCUCAUCAACUCCUGGCCCUUCCUGCUUGGAAAGAUCCGAGGGAUCAUUGAUGAACUUCAGGGCAAAGCACUCAAGGUAUUUGAAGCAGAGCAGUUCGGAUGCCCACAGCGUGCCCAGAGGAUGAACACGGCCUUUACGCCAUUCCUGCACCAAAGGAAUGGUAAUGCCGCUCGUUCGCUGACCUCCUUGACAAGCGAUGACAACUUGUGGGCGUGCCUGCACACCUCCUUUGCUUGGCUCCUGAAAGCGUGCGGCAGCCGGCUGACUGAGAAGCUCCUGGAGGGCGCCCCCACAGAGGACACCUUGGUCCAGAUGGAGAAGCUUGCGGACUUAGAAGAGGAAUCAGAAAGCUGGGACAACUCUGAGGCUGAAGAGGAGGAGAAAGCCCCUGUCGUGCCAGACGGUGCAGAAGGGCGGGAGCUGACCAAAUGCCCAGCAGAGUCUUCCUUGCUCUCAGACUGUGGAAACUGGCAGCCCCGAAAGCUGUCUGUCUUUAAGUCCCUUCGGCACAUGAGGCAGGUCCUGGGUGCCCCGUCUUUUCGCAUGUUGGCCUGGCAUGUUCUCAUGGGGAAUCAAGUGAUCUGGAAAAGCAGAGACGCAGACCUUGUCCAGUCAGCUUUUGAAGUUCUUCGGACUAUGCUGCCGGUGGGCUGCGUCCGCAUCAUCCCUUACAGCGACCAGUAUGAGGAGGCCUACCGGUGCAACUUCCUGGGGCUCAGCCCCCACGUGCAGAUCCCCUCCCACGUGCUGUCCUCAGAAUUUGCUGUGGUCGUGGAGGCCCACACAGCCCCUCGCUCCAGCCUCCACCCGGUCGGGUGCGAGGAUGACCAGUCCCUCAGCAAGUAUGAGUUCGUGGUGACCAGUGGAAGUCCCGUAGCCGCGGACCGAGUUGGCCCCACCAUCCUGAACAAGAUGGAAGCUGCUUUGAGCAACCAGAAUCUGUCUGUGGGUGUGGUGGACCAGUGCCUCGUCUGCCUCAAGGAGGAGUGGAUGAACAAAGUGAAGGUCCUCUUUAAAUUCACCAAGGUGGACAGUCGGCCCAAAGAGGACACGCAGAAGCUCCUCAGUAUCCUUGGAGCAUCCGAGGAGGACAAUGUCAAGCUGCUCAAGUUCUGGAUGACGGGUCUGAGCAAAACCUACAAAUCGCACCUCAUGUCCACCGUCCGCAGCCCCACGGCCUCAGAGCCUCGUAAUUGACCCUGCCAUGGGAAUCUGAGCCCACGUUCACCUGAAAAGCGGCGAUUGCCAUCUUCGCCGCUGAGCUCAGAGACGGGUCUCGGAGGGCAGUCACAGACCACUCCUGUUUCCUGUUUCCAAGCGGUUCCCUUCUCUUCAUGACCUUGGCAGUCUGGAAAAAUACUGGCCAGUUAUCCUGUGGAAUGGGAUAACAAGUCCUUCCAUCUGGAUUGCUGACGUUUCCUCCUCAUGAUAGAACUGGGUGUAUGAGCUUUGGGAACAACCACCGCAGAAGUGAGGUGCCCUUCUCAUCAUAUCCGGGUUUUGGCCACUGGAGUCUCUUUUAGGCUACUCCUGUGUCUUUUGUUCCUGCUGCCAUGUCCACAUGCUCAAUUUCUCGUACAAGAUGCCGAAAAUACAUCUACAGUCUCCGUGCCCAACACCCAGAAUCUGUUAUUUCUUCGAGAAUGGUGUUUGGAAACUAAGAUCUGGGACCUAGCAUGCUCAUUAUUGCCGGGGUGUCACUGCUUCUGGGCCUCUUGGGGGACUGAGGUAUGUGAGCCCGCAAUUGGGGCGCGCGGUGCAGCUGCUUCACCAGCGCGGGGUGCGCGUCCGGGUCAUCACCGACUGCGACUACAUGGCCCUCAACGGUUCGCAGAUCGGCCUGCUCCGCAAGGCAGCCCUUAUGAUUAGAAAACACCGUUGGAGUGGGAAUUGGCCUCGACAGUGCCCACAGCUGUGAAGUACACCAGGAAGGUUUGAAGGAACCAAUACAACGACAUCGUGUCUUUUUAAUUUAUUGGGAGAGAGACAGACACAGUGCGAGGCAGAAGCUGCGAAGUUGUGAGAUCAUGACCUGAGCUGAAACCAAGAGUUGGACACUUAACCAAGACAGAGCGCUGGGUUGCACACUGGAGAGCUGCUGAUGCAGAUUUGUGUUUUCCAGGAUUCUUCCAACACACGUCGGAGCUCUGUGGCCUCUCGUGGAACGGCCCCAAAUAGACAUCCUUUGGGGACCCACCGGAAAGCUGGCAUUUAUGAAUUGAGGAAGCGCCCCAGUUACGUAAGAGUGCAUUCUGUAGGUAGUUUUCCAAGGCUCUUCAGUGGCAUCCACGUAAACCCAGCACCAGUGCCAAAGUCCCAGCCCUCGCCUCCCUUAAUAUUGCAGCCACAUGUGCUGGUAUCUGGAACGGUGAUGACAAGGACACGUUCUGAAGCAGCUUGAUAAUCUUUCACAUAAAAUUUUGUCCUGUGCAAGUUAAACUAGACAGCCAGUAUAGUGCAGGGCAUUUUCCAGUUUCUGCCUCUGGUGGUAAGUAGAUAGCAAAUUUCAUCUUGCAGUUGAGUUCAACACUGUCGUGUUCAAAAACUUUCUGAAGUCCUCCAGAGCACCUGUUGCAGGCAUUCUUCUCCUGACCGAUUGCUACUUGCCUUGUUAUCUGCACCAAAAGGUAGGUGACCCUCGGGGGUCAGUGGUGGUGGGAAAAGCAGUGGUCGGAAUGGAAAGGUGAGGCCUCAGCAUGGCUGCCCAUGCCACCUUCUCCGGUCUCUUCAUUCUCAUCCCUGACCCCCAUUGGGUCUGCCCACUUUUGGGUCAGGUCUGUGAACCAUUUUGAGGUUUUGUGUAUGGUGAGAGGCAGGGGGUCCAACUUCAUUCUUUUAUAUGUGGAUAGCUAGUUGUCUCAGCACCAUUUGUUGAAAAGAUUAUUCUUUCUCCACUGAGUGGUUUUGGUAUUCUUGUUAAAAAUCAGUUGAUUACCUAAAUGCAGUUGCUUAUUUCUGGAUUCUUAAUUCUGGUCCAUUGGUCUGUGUCAGUCCCUGUGCCAGUACACACACUGUCUUGACUACUUAGGCUUUGUGUCAAGUUUUGAAACCCGGUAAACAAGUCCUUUAACUUUGUUCUUCUUUCCAACAUUGUUUUGGCUAUCCUGGGUCCCGUUACAUGUCUUUAUGAAUCUUAGGAUCAGCUGAUCAGCUUUUGCAGAAGCAGCUGGGAUUGUGUUGAGUCUUUAGAUCAAGUUGGAGAGUAUUGCCGUUUUAACGAUAUCACAUUUUCCAACCCGUGAACAUGGGAUUCCUUUCCAUUUGUUUAAAUCUUACUUUUUUUUUUGUAGUUUUCAGUGUCUAAGUCUUACACUUCUUUCAAAAGAGUUGAUUCCCAAGUAUUUUAUUCUUUUUGAUAUUAUUGCAAAUGGAAUUGCUUUGUUUCAGGUUGCUACUAAAUACAAUUCAUUUUUGUAUAUGAAUCUUGUAUCCUGCAAACUUGCAGACCUCAUAUCAGUUUCAAUAGAUUUUUUUAGUGGAUUCCCUUGUGUUCCCGUAUACAAGAUCAUGUUACCUGCAGAUAUAGUUUCUACUUCUUCCUUUUCAACAUGGACGUUUUCCUAUUUCUUGCCUGGCUAGAAUCUCCAGUAGUGUUGAAUAUCUAUGGUGAGAAGAGCUAUCCUUGUCUUGUUGCUGAUCUUAGGGGAAAGCUGCCAGUUUUUCACCAUUAAGUAUGAAGUCGUGGGGUUUUUAUAAAUGUUCUUUAUCACACUGAAUUUGCUUACUUGUAUUCCUAGUUUGCUGAGUGCUUUAAUCAUGAAAGGGUGUUAGAUUUUCUAAGUGCCAACUGAUUUUCACAAUUGCAAUUACACAGCUUUAAAAAAAUGUUAAAGUUAUUAGAAUACCAUUAGGACCAGUGUCUAGAAUUUUUUUAAAGAACAAAAAAUUAUCGAAACAUUUUUAAACAACUGGAAUAGCACACUGGAGGUAUGCUACUUUGUAUGUCUGUACUCUUAUUUUUUCUAAGUUUUUUGAAUUCCAGAAGUUGAUUUCCAAUAGGUAGAGUCAGAAUUUGUUUUUUUCUGUUUACUGAAUAAAUGUUUGGAUUUCCACACACUUUCACCUAUUUCAUUCCAAAGGGUGUGGCAAUAUUGGGAAAAUCCAGUUUCUUAUUUUCUUAUGCUAUUCAGUGGGCCACAACUAGAAUUUUAAAAAAUUUAACAGAAUGUAGGGUGCAUUCUUUUGUGAAAUUUUGGGUUAUGGUGUGUGUGUGUGUCUGUGUGUAUUGGGUCAUGAGAUAGGAUGUAUUUUCUCUUUGAAACACCAAGUACAACUUUAUUGUAAAAAACCUAAUAAUAAAGGGGCGGAUAUGAGAGAGUUCUAUUUCCUUGAUUGAUAGUUCUAGCUCGUUCCUCUCUAGUAUUUUUUAUGCUGCUUUUGGCCUCCCUUGAAGGUUUCUAGAGCAGAGCCAAUGUACCUUCAUUUGAUUCGUGAUAUAAAAUAAAUUUUUAUGCAUUGUAUGUGAA